UUUCUUUCCUUUCUACUUUUAAUUUACCCAUAAGGAUAGGUAAGCCCAACACUCAGCCACUCUUCCUUUUGUUGGCCUUAGUGUAGAAUUAACUGGCUUGACUAUCCUACUUUUCUUUAAGCGAUAAUCAUUUACUAUAUCUAGGUCAAAUGUAACCCAGGAAAAUCACACAUUCUAGGGAUUCAAAAUAAAAGUCAAAUCUCUACUCUUAUAAAACGUCCAUCUUACUGAGAUGAUAUAUUUCCUCAAUAAAAGCCUUUAAUCAAGUAAUAUAUAAUAAUGCCUAAGAGAAGUAUGCCGGUUGUAAAUUAUCAGGUGAAGUAGAAGCAUCAGAAAGGUUCCAGAGAGAAAGAGCUCUUGUUGAUGCUCCAAUAGUGAGUAGGAGGAGUCCAGAAGGUAGGCAGGGCCUGAGGGGACGCAGGCUUUCAAAGGUUGUCCAGUAAGCCAGCAGGUUGUAUGUCUGAAAAAUGGCGAGCAACCCCUGUGAAAAAGACCUUCAACCCCCAAAGGAUUCAUGACCCACAGGUUGAGAACCACUGAUCUACACACCAUGAGAGGUGUGUCUUCACCAGCUAUAUACUGAGAAAUCCCAAAAAGCACCUCAGUAAUCCCCACUGUAGCUCUUAGUGAUAUUAUUUUCAUUUAAUAUAUGAGAAAUUCCAGGUUUAAAUGGGUUAGGCAUGCUCAGGCUCUCACAGCUAGUAUGGGGCAAAGUUAAAUUUAUAUAAAGUUUAUAUUUCCCUAAACCCAGUAUUCUUCCCCCAGGACAAGCCUUCUCCCUAGGUAAGAGAAUCAAGUAACGGAGUGUAGGGGCUCCUCCUGAGGUGGCAGUUCUGUGGCAAACUGCAGCAGAUGAUAUCAAAUGCAUUAUGAGGAUGCACUGAGAGGACAAUACCAACAGAGAGCCUUGGGAAGCAGAGGAACUACCUUCUCACUUGUUCACCAACCAGGCAGGAAUCCAAGCUCUUGUGGAGGGUGAUGGGCCGCAACUGACCUGUUCUUGGUUUUGUUGUUUUUUUGGAAUUGGAUUCAGUAUUAUUUUUUCUUGUUCUUAAGGCAUCUACCCAGUUUGUUUUCACACUUGAAAUACCAAAUAUAGUUCCAAGACACUUGCCGCGAGAGUCCCCUGUGGCCUCCCCCUUUCUUCUGUCUCCACUAGGGUGCCCUGUUUUCUUUCCACAUCAAACACUUAUCAUGUGAAGCUUGAAACCAAAUCUAUUGGCAGACAAUUUCUGAAGCUGGAAGAGUGUUUAUCUCUCCCGCAGCUGUCAUUAGCGUGGUAUUUCAUCUUUUGCCUGGAUCCAUGCUCUGGUAUACAACAGCAUUGAAAAAGACAUUACCCUCUUUGCUCACACGGAGGGUGGAUUAACUGAAAUUCGUGUUCUAAAUAGCAUUGCAAUAUGGAGUUUUAACAUUCUUGGUAUUGUUUAGCAAAAAUCAUAGGAAGCAAUCAGAGGGAGAACUCAGAAAUCCACCUUGCCCAUCACGGCAGAUGUGCUUGUGUUUUGAAAAUCCACUAUUAUGGCUUGAAUAGGAAUUAUCUGCAAAAGCCUCCUGGUGGAGUGGUCAGUCCUCCAGGUUUCCAGAGGUCCUAGAAAUGAUAGGAAAUUGGGCAAUUUGGUGAAAGUAGUUCAUUGGACAUGUGUCCUUCUGUUGUAUCAAGCUCCUUUUGAUCUCUCCCUCACCACUCCCUGUUCACUAUGAGGCAUGUACCCUCUGUCUGUAAGUCAGGAAAAAAAUAAAUCAUUAUGAAUUGAAUAGAAGUUAAUCAGUAUAUACUAAGUUACGCAAUAAGUGAUACAAUCUUGUACUAUGUUGUACAAUAGAAUGACUAUGAACAAUAAUAACGAUGUCUUGUAUAUAUUUUGAAAAGCUAGAAAAAAAAGAUUUUUGUGUUUGUUAUAUUUAAAAAUGUCAUACAAUUUAUUUUGAUAGCAUUAUGUCCCCUCCCCCAACUCCUCCCAGACCUUCUCCACCUCCCUCCCCAUUCAACUUCAUUCUCCCCUCAAAAAAAUGAAUAUUAAAACAAGUAAGUAAUAG
This is a long non-coding RNA of Mastomys coucha (southern multimammate mouse), 2040 nucleotides long. RefSeq lists it as uncharacterized. Lineage: Eukaryota; Metazoa; Chordata; Mammalia; Rodentia; Muridae. The record is from RefSeq and is a predicted model, not a curated record. The transcript is spliced from 3 exons.